RNAcentral lists this ribosomal RNA (393 nucleotides) under uncultured bacterium. Its description in RNAcentral is "partial 16S ribosomal RNA". It matches the Rfam family "Bacterial small subunit ribosomal RNA", at positions 523 to 918 of the family's 1533-position model. The record is from RNAcentral.
AUACGGAGGAUGCAAGCGUUAUCCGGAUUUAUUGGGUUUAAAGGGUGCGUAGGCGGUUUGCUAAGCGGGAGGUGAAAUGCCGGCGCUCAACGUCGGAAGUGCCUCCCGAACUGGUGGACUUGAAUGACUCUGCCGUGGGAGGAAUGUGUAGUGUAGCGGUGAAAUGCUUAGAGAUUACACAGAACACCGAUUGCGAAGGCAUCUCACGAAGGGUUGAUUGACGCUGAGGCACGAAAGCGUGGGGAUCAAACAGGAUUAGAUACCCUGGUAGUCCACGCAGUAAACGAUGAUGGCUAACCGCUGGAUCCAUCGGUUCAGUGGCCAAGCGAAAGCGAUAAGCCAUCCACCUGGGGAGUACGACCGCAAGGUUGAAACUCAAAUGAAUUGGCGGGG